Long non-coding RNA from Hippocampus comes (tiger tail seahorse), 526 nucleotides. RefSeq lists it as uncharacterized. The transcript is spliced from 3 exons. Lineage: Eukaryota; Metazoa; Chordata; Actinopteri; Syngnathiformes; Syngnathidae. The record is from RefSeq and is a predicted model, not a curated record.
GUGCUGCACUGGCCCACCGAGAAGGCCGCUGUCAUGGUGGGAGCACUCAAUUCCGGAGAAUUACGUUUCUUCAGAGCUCUUUACACACACUCUCACGGGCGUAUUUGGACCCCUCCAUUCGUGUGGUCGGCUGCCAAAACUGGAAAGAGGGCCCGAAUCCACUCUACCACCUUCCAUCGUCUCUCUACCAGCUCCUUCUGGUUGCUCGCCAACUUCUGACCGACUUUAUGAACGACUCCAAACAAGUGCCGGGAAUGAGAUCAGGUCUCUAAUCUUCCUCCGGCUUGCCAGGCUGCAAGAUGAUGGUGGGGAUGAUGAUGAUGAUGAUGAUGAUGGUGGUGGUGAUGGGGGUGCUGCUGCUGGUGCUGGUGGAGUCCCACAGAUCUCAGCACCUAAUUGAAUGGAUGAAAUUAGCCGUUUAUUCAUUUACCCCCCCUUGGAAAAAUGCUAUUAAUGAUGAGCUGGUCGUCGGACUCUAUAAAUGUAUUUAUAAGCCGAUUUAUUCAUGAUUGCAUCAUUUGCAAAA